Scophthalmus maximus (turbot) is the source of this 1113-nucleotide long non-coding RNA. RefSeq lists it as uncharacterized. The record is from RefSeq and is a predicted model, not a curated record. The transcript has 3 exons. NCBI's taxonomy places the organism in Eukaryota, Metazoa, Chordata, Actinopteri, Pleuronectiformes, Scophthalmidae.
GCGGUGUUCUAUAGCUUCGAGGCUACAGCGGUGUUUUUACCUGCGCGGUCGCGGGGUUCCUGGUCGUGGCUAUGAUCUUGCCCGGUGAGAAGCCGCCACCUGCUGCCAGACUGUCGACCAUCUGCAGCCCGAUCCCCCGGCUGGCUCCCGUCACCAGCACCGAGCAGCACUUUCCGAAACUCACCAGGCUGCUCAUCGUCGAUGUCGCCCCGCGCCAAGUGCUGGUGGGCUCGAUACGCCUUUAGUUUGCAAAAACUGAGGCUGAAGAUGGAGGUGGCGAGAUGAGGCGGACACGCACAGCUGAUGGAGCUUAUGCGGUGCACACAGCACACAGAUGGUUUCCCUGGCAGCUUUCUCUGUCCAGAUUUUUCUUAAAGCUCCCGGUGGGAGCAGCAGAUAUCCCCCCCGGUCUCCUCCGGCGGAGUAGUUGACGUCCUCAAAUCCUCACCACAUUGGUUUUGGUCGCGUGCACACAACGGAAACACCAACAGAAACAGGAGAGCUGCAUGAAAACUAAGUUUCACCAGCAAAGAAGAGUUCCCCUCAAACACAGGAGCAGAAAUGUUUUCGCAAUCACUCCAUCCCAAAGUGAGAAACUCUAGAGGAAAGUAAAUCUUGAAUUUGCAAUGUCAUUAAGUGUAAUUAGUGUAAUUCUCCUUUAUUACCGAGUCUCUUGAUUUCAGAUAGUGACACGUUUUCAAGAAAUAGUGUAGAACGCUAUAGAUCGCAUGUUUUGAAUGAUCUCGAAGAUUUGAAAUUGAACUUUGUGCUUCUAUCUAUUUUUUUUGUGUGACUUUUGCGUAGAUUAAUUUUCAGGUAGCAUAGUUUCUUUUAUCGACUUUUGAGGCGAUAAAUGAUCAUGUUCAGCUACUGGAUGUGUUUUGAGCUUGUGUUGAUUGUUGUGUGAUGUAUUGUGUUGUAUUUUUGUUAUGUUGUGAGUAAGAAUGUUCUGUUUGUAAGCUCAUGUUUUUUGCUGCACUGUGAGUAUGAAUGUUAUGGAUGUAUGUAAUCCAUCUUAUAUAAUAUUCUUAUGAAAUAAUAGAGACCCAGGGAGGAGUAGCUACUGUUUUAGAAUGGGGAUUUUAAUAAACUAAACUAAACUGUUAAACUUUA